UGCAGUCGNNGAUGAAGCCCUUCGGGGUGGAUUAGUGGCGAACGGGUGAGUAACACGUGGGCAAUCUGCCCUUCACUCUGGGACAAGCCCUGGAAACGGGGUCUAAUACCGGAUAACACCUGCCCGGGCAUCCGGGUGGGUUAAAAGCUCCGGCGGUGAAGGAUGAGCCCGCGGCCUAUCAGCUUGUUGGUGAGGUAGUGGCUCACCAAGGCGACGACGGGUAGCCGGCCUGAGAGGGCGACCGGCCACACUGGGACUGAGACACGNNNAANNCNNNUACGGGAGGCAGCAGUGGGGAAUAUUGCACAAUGGGCGAAAGCCUGAUGCAGCGACGCCGCGUGAGGGAUGACGGCCUUCGGGUUGUAAACCUCUUUCAGCAGGGAAGAAGCGAAAGUGACGGUACCUGCAGAAGAAGCGCCGGCUAACUACGUGCCAGCAGCCGCGGUAAUACGUAGGGCGCAAGCGUUGUCCGGAAUUAUUGGGCGUAAAGAGCUCGUAGGCGGCUUGUCACGUCGGGUGUGAAAGCCCGGGGCUUAACCCCGGGUCUGCAUUCGAUACGGGCUAGCUAGAGUGUGGUAGGGGAGAUCGGAAUUCCUGGUGUAGCGGUGAAAUGCGCAGAUAUCAGGAGGAACACCGGUGGCGAAGGCGGAUCUCUGGGCCAUUACUGACGCUGAGGAGCGAAAGCGUGGGGAGCGAACAGGAUUAGAUACCCUGGUAGUCCACGCCGUAANCGGUGGGAACUAGGUGUUGGCGACAUUCCACGUCGUCGGUGCCGCAGCUAACGCAUUAAGUUCCCNGCCUGGGGAGUACGGCCGCAAGGCUAAANCUCAANGGAAUUGACGGGGGCCCGCACAAGCAGCGGAGCAUGUGGCUUAAUUCGACGCAACGCGAAGAACCUUACCAAGGCUUGACAUACACCGGAANGCAUUAGAGAUAGUGCCCCCCUUGNGGUCGGGGUACAGGUGGUGCAUGGCUGUCGUCAGCUCGAGUCGGNAGAUGUUGNGUUAAGUCCCGCAACGAGCGCAACCCUUGUUCUNNGUUGCCAGCAUGCCCUUCGNGGUGAUGGG
Molecule: ribosomal RNA, 1067 nt
Filed under: Streptomyces sp.
Lineage: Bacteria; Bacillati; Actinomycetota; Actinomycetes; Kitasatosporales; Streptomycetaceae
Description: bacterial SSU rRNA
Rfam family: Bacterial small subunit ribosomal RNA
Source: RNAcentral